This 66-nucleotide transfer RNA is filed under the name Solanum tuberosum (potato). It matches the Rfam family "tRNA", at positions 8 to 63 of the family's 71-position model. From Rfam's summary of the family: Transfer RNA (tRNA) molecules are approximately 80 nucleotides in length. Their secondary structure includes four short double-helical elements and three loops (D, anti-codon, and T loops). Further hydrogen bonds mediate the characteristic L-shaped molecular structure. tRNAs have two regions of fundamental functional importance: the anti-codon, which is responsible for specific mRNA codon recognition, and the 3' end, to which the tRNAs corresponding amino acid is attached (by aminoacyl-tRNA synthetases). tRNAs cope with the degeneracy of the genetic code in two manners: having more than one tRNA (with a specific anti-codon) for a particular amino acid; and 'wobble' base-pairing, i.e. permitting non-standard base-pairing at the 3rd anti-codon position. The record is from Rfam by way of RNAcentral. Lineage: Eukaryota; Viridiplantae; Streptophyta; Magnoliopsida; Solanales; Solanaceae.
UAGCUCAGUUGGUAGAGCAUUGGGCUUUUAACCUAAUGGUCGCAGGUUCAUAAAAUGAAAAUCUGU